Molecule: long non-coding RNA, 6047 nt
Filed under: Sus scrofa (pig)
Lineage: Eukaryota; Metazoa; Chordata; Mammalia; Artiodactyla; Suidae
Description: lncRNA (ENSSSCG00000055800.1)
Source: RNAcentral
AAGAUCAAGCCUACAUUUGCUAAAAUCCUGAAAGAAGAAACAAGAAUAUAAUUUGUUAAGGUGACUGGAUUAUGAGCGACUUUCUCCUAUAAUACAUACUUUCUGUCAUGUUAUAUAUAACUUUGGCAAGUUUUAAAAAUUAUUCCAGGGAGGGGGUUCUUGUGGUGGCACAGCCGAAAGGAAUCCGACUAGGAACCGUGAGGUUUCAGGUUUGAUCCCUGGCCUUGAUCAGUGGGUUAAGGAUCUGGCAUUGCCGUGAGCUGUGGUGUAGGUCUCAGACGCAGCUUGGAUCUGGUGUUGCUGUGGCUGUGGCAUAGACCGGCAGCAAUAGUGCCAACUAGAUCCCUAUCCUGGGAACCUCCAUAUGCCGCGGGUACAGCCCUAAAAAAAAGACCAAAAAAAAAAAAUUUCCAAGGAGUUCCUGCUGCGGCUCAGUGGAAAUGAACCUGACUGGUAUCUGUGAAGAUGCGAAUUCGAUCCCUGACCUUGCUCAGUGGGUUAAGGAUCUGGUGUUGCCAUCAGCUGUGGUGUAGUUGUCGUCUAGCGUUCUGCCCAGUGUUUGGCAGUGACUCUAGUGCUCUGGUCACAAGUGCCUGGCUGGCUCUUAUGAACAGCAUGUGCGAAAGUCUAAGGGCGAAUUCUGCAACUUUUUUUUCUUUAUGCAAGCCAAACCUAGGGUCUAAUUGCAGCUGCAGCUGGGGCCUAUGCCACAGCUGUGGCAACACCAGAUCAGAGCUGCAUCUGUGACCUACGCCCCAGCAAAGCAGGAUCCUUAACCCACGGAGCGAGGCCAGGGAUCCUCACUAGGUCAGGUUAACCUACUGAGCCACAAUGGGAACUCCUGAGGGAGAAUUCUUGGUGUGUGGUAAUGAGGCAGCAUCAGUUCACCUCUGCCCAAGAGGAAGCCAGUGAAGGGUGCUGCCCAAAGAUGAGAAACACAACUGGACUGAACGUCCACAGAAACAGCAUUUGUAAAACCCAGGAAGGCUUAGUUGUCCUGGGAGGAGGCCUAUGUACAGGGAUGCUGAGCAGAAAGGUGGGACCUUCCUGGGAGGCCAAGGCACAGUCAUGUCACACUGUGAGCUCUUGGGCAAGGGCCAGGUUGUCUGGGGUGUUGGUCUGUUCUGGGGUGACAGGAGCUGGCUGGGGAGGGACCUUCCCGGGAGGAGAGCCAUGAAGGAUGGGGUGGCUGCGUGUGUGUGCUGAGGCCCAAUUCAGGAGGCCUCACAAGUUCAGGCUCUGCUGCUACAUGAGCAGAUCUUGGUGGGAAUCUUUUGGGUCAUCAGUGGUGCACCUUUCAAAGGAUCAUGCAGUGUCCAGGACUGAGCUUUAUGGGGACUCCAUCCACGAAGCCUAUAGAUUCUGGGAGAACUGUAGUGACCUUCUGUGGAUGGCAGCUUCACAAGCCAGAGAUGAUCCUGUUAAAACUAUAAGAUGAUUAAAGCACAAACCUGCCUAUCAGCUGGGUCUGACUCGGUGACACUGGGGAGGCCGUCCUGCUGGGAGCAGAAUUUGGGGCAUGGUGUAAGGACGGAGUGACUCCACUGGCAGUACUGAAUAUGGAGGACAUAAGCUCUGUGCCAGCAUCCACACCGGGUGGAACACUGGCAGAAGCCCUUCCCACGGGGCCUGCUGGCAUCUGGUAUGCUUCUGCCCUAUUGAGUCCCACCACAUCUCCUCAAACAAAGUUAAGUCCCAGGGGUCUACCAGCAGCCCUGUUACCAGGCUGUACAUUGUUAAGUAAGAGUAGCAGCCAGGCAAGGAGAACAUAAGCACCCGGCCAGUGUGCGAGGGCCUCCCUCCGGGCGUGUGGUUGGGACACUGACCAAAGGUGGAACGCUGUUGCUCUGGGACCAAGGUCUCCUAUCUCUUCGUCAGGCGGGGGCACAGGGGUUGGCCUGGGGCUGCAGACAGAGGGCGCUAGAUUUUGGGGUUUCCGUUCGAGGUUCAUUUCCUAGUGUGACUGGCAUCCCCUGGGUGGAGGGCCUUUUCUCCUCUCUCUAAGCAGUUCCGCCAUUUGUCCUGGAGCUGUAUCAAUCUCCGUGAGAGUUUGUGAUAAAUUUGGUUUAGUGAACCAGCCUUGGUAAUCCGAAUAGAGAGGCAAAGUCGGUGGUCUUGGUUUAGUUGUGGCUGGUGCUGGGCCAAACUAUGACCUCACGAAAUCUGUCCAAUCGUGACCUCUGGAGUUCCCGUUGCGGCUUAGCGGUAAGAAACCCAACUAGUAUCCAUGCGGACGUGGCUUAGACCCCUGGCCUCGCUCACUGGGUCAAGGAUCCAGCGUUGCCAUAAACUGUAGGUCUGAUCCUGAGGGGGUUAGUCUUUGCAGGAGACUGGUCAUUGGGGUGGGGGUUUGAGUCCUGAGGGCCAGGAAUCGAGCAGUAUUAGAGACUGGGUGGAAAAUUUGUGCCCAUUUAGGGGAACAGCUAUUGUUUGAAAGUGUGAGGAUGGAGCCUGUCUUUGAGUAGGAUACUGUACCUCUUGUACUUUCAGCUGCUUGGGGCUGGUCAGCCAGGUGGAAAUUCGACAAGAUUGCACUUUCUAGAGCCUAUGACUGAACAACUUGGUGAAAUGGGUACACUGAUCCGAAUCUAUGAUAUCUGGAGGGUCAAAGGGGAUGAGCACAUACCUGGUUAAGUAGGCGAUGAUGUCGUGGGAAGCAGUUUCUGGAGGACGUGGCCAGCAGUGUCCCGGGUCGGUGCAGUGAUGGUGGUGGGUGCACACCCGCUAGUUCCAGCAGAGGGCAGCAGCAGCCCAACAAAUUCAGUUUGCCAUGGGGAUUCAACGUGUCACCCAGGAAACAUGUCCCUGGGAGCCUUCCAGAGUUUUGCUUGGGGAUGGGGACUUGUGCGUGAAGCCCGGUUGGCUGCCGAAAUUUGUCAUGGAAGUGGCGGUAGUGGGCUGCUGUCUGGGGCAGGCGUUUGGGCCAGAACCCCCCACACAACCAGGUAGAGCUGCGCUUAGUUCAUUGACUCCAAGAGGUGUAGUCACCAGUGAGUCAGAUCCAAAGUCUGAGCUCCGAGGGACCAAGGUCAGGGCCUGCUGUGUGCCUGACUGCCCCAUCGUAAGGCAGUCUGUUGAUUUUUCCCCAGUGGAAAGAAACUGAUUUUCCUGAAAUGGCACAACUAGCCUAAGUAGAAUGGUUCAGUGUGGUCUGUGUCUGAAAUGUACAGUGUCUGUCCUAAUGUGGUGGCGAUGGUGAGGAGCUGGCGUUUUUCAGGGAGAAGAAUUUCAUGGCCUGAAGCUGCCCACUCUGUGCCCAGAAGCUUGACAAAGUUGUGGUCUUUGGAUCCUAUGGGGGCAAUGGUCUACCUUUUCUGCUGUAAGUGUAAUUAGGUACAAGCACUCCCAGAUGGCGAGUCCUAACAGGGCCUUGUAGUAGAAUGUCGUCUGUAUAAUGCCAAAGGCGGCAGUGGGUUGGUUGGGGUGAAUUCAGGUCUGUUGGGCAGGGGUGUUGAGAUAACCUCUGGGCAACGGAGGAAAGGUGACCUCAAAAAUGGAAGCAGGAGUUCCCAUUGUGGUGCAGCAGAAACGAAUCCAACUAGAAACCGUGAGGUUGCAGGUUUGAUCCCUGGCCUUGCUCAGUGGGUUAAGGAUUCGGCAUUGCCAUGGGCUGUGGUGUAGGUCACAGAUGCGGCUCAGAUCUGGCGUUGCUGUGGCUGUGGUGUGGGCCAGCAGCUGUAGCUCUGAUUCAACUCCUAGCCUGGGAACCUCCAUAUGCCUCAGGUGCAGCCCUAAAAAAAAAAAAAAAAAGGGAAGCAAAUCGAGGCUGUGAGUCUCCUGCUUUCAGGACCGAGUAGACUGUGUUGGCUAUAGAUCUAGUCCAGCAAAGUCAGGGUCCUGAGGCUUCUGGCAGACUUCUACUGUCUAUACGACACUGGGUAUGGAACAUUAAUGGCAGGAACUCGUACAGUUGUUAAUCUCUUUCACUCAUGGUUUAACUCUGGCCAGAUAGGCUAUUCCAGGGUGAGAUGGUGGCCUAAUGACCCAGUGUCAAACAUAUCUCUAAUGACCAGUCAAGGAUCCUCUGCACCAACUCUCUUUUUCUUUCUUUCUUUUUUUUUUUUUUUUAGGGCCCUACCUGCGGUAUAUGGAAGUUCACAGGCCACGGGUCAAAUCAGAGCUGCAGCUGCCAGCCUACACCACAGCCACAGCAAUGCCAGAUUGGAGCUGUGUCUGCAACCUACACAACAGCUCAUAUAAACACCGGAUGCUUAACUCUCUGAGUGAGGCCAGCGACUGAACCCGCGCCUCCAUGAAUAAUAGUUGGGUUAAUUACCACUGAGCCACAAUGGGAACUCCCCUCUUCACUAGCUUAUUUUAGCCUGUUGUGGUGUGUUUCCUGUCUACACCGCGGGAGGCAGGCGGAUAUGCUCCCAUUGGCAGCCCAUAAGGAAGCCCAGGAAUUUAGAUUUGUUCCAUCAUGUGUCUCCAUACUGUCAACAAGAAGAGAGAGCCAGAGAGGGCUGCCACCACUGGCAACUGUUCCAGAAAGAUAUACGGUGUCAAUAGACACAUCCAGCUUAACUGGCACUCCUUUUACAGUUUUACCUGCUCUGCCUUCUGUGCUGUUUGAGUUCCCUUGGGGUGGGUCCACACAGAGGGCUGGGCAGAGUGCAGUCAGAGAGGUAUGCUUUGUGGUUUCCAGGCUAAGACUGGAUUGGUUAGUCCAAACCAGAGCAGGGUUUUGCUAACCUUCUGAUGGGUUUUAUCUAGAGGGCCCACAGGAGAGUACAAGAGCAGUUGGGCGAGUCCUAUGGGAAACUUAUUUUACCUGUGACUGUGUGCUGCUGUCUAGAGUGACUGCUUGUGUGAGGAGCUAAGCCAGUUUAAGGCCCUGUGGGGUGCUUGCUCAAACAAAGUGGAUGCUGAGGAAGCAACACUGUGUUGAGGCUUAGCUAAACCCUUUACAAGAUCUGAACAGGAAUGGCUCAACAGCAAAAGUUGUUUUCUAGACCGAAGACAUGGAGAACAGCCAAGGGGAAGGGAGGAGGGAGUGGGAUGGACUGGUGGGGUUAGUAGAUGCAAACUUGGAGUUCCCGUCGUGGCGCAGUGGUUAACGAAUCAGAAUAGGAACCACGAAGUUGCGGGUUCGAUCCCUGGCCUUUCUCGGUGGGUUAAGGAUCCACAUUGCUGUGAGCUGUGGUGUAGGUUGCAGAUGCGGCUUGGAUCCUGUGUUGCUAUGGCUCUGACCUAGGCUGGUGGCUACAGCUCUGAUUAGACCCCUAGCUUGGGAACCUCUAUAUGCCAUGGGAGGGGCCCUAGAAAUGGCAAAAAACGAAAAAAAAAAAAAAGUAAAUGCAAAUGAUUACAAACUAUUACAUUUAGAAUGGAUAAGCAAUGAGGUCCUACUGUACAGCACAGGGAGCUAUGUCUACUCUCUUGUGAUAGAACUUGGAAGAUAAAUAAGAAAAAAAUGUAUAGUAUAUACAUCCAUGUACAUAUGACUGGGUCGCACUGCUAUACAGCAGAAAUUGGUGCAACAUUGUAAAUCAACUAUACUUAAGUUGAUUUCUUGUUCAUGUGGCUCUCAUGGGCUACAGAGUAGAACUCUAGCCUGGUUCUUUUCCAUGUGGUCAUUUGGGGCUGUAGCUGAGAAGGGUUAUGCCAUUUGAACGUGUGGCUUCUGCCAGGAGGAGCAUGGAGGUUUUGAGGAUGGCCAGGGCUCAGGCACAGACGUGGAGGCUGAGUGCCAGCCUGGUUGUGUGCUGAAGACGCUAAGGGGUGAAUAGGGAUGACCAGCUAGCCACUGUCUGCCACAGUUACCAAGGAUGCUUUAGAGAUGCAGAAACUAUGAGCAAGAAUUGGCGUGAUGGAGUUCCCGUUGUGGCUCAGUGGUUAACGAAUCUGACUAGGAACCAUGAGGUUGCGGGUUCAACCCCUGGCCUUGCUCAGUGGAUUAAGGAUCUGGCGUUGUGGUGAGCUGUGGUGUAGGUCGAAGACGUGGCUCGGAUCUGGCAUUGCUGUGGCUCUGGUGUAGGCCGGCGGCUACAGCUCUGAUUAGACCCCUAGCCUGGAAACCUCCAUAUGCCGCAGGUGUGGCCCUAGAA